UGGGGAAUAUUGCACAAUGGGCGCAAGCCUGAUGCAGCCAUGCCGCGUGUAUGAAGAAGGCCUUCGGGUUGUAAAGUACUUUCAGCGAGGAGGAAGGCGUUGUGGUUAAUAACCGCAACGAUUGACGUUACUCGCAGAAGAAGCACCGGCUAACUCCGUGCCAGCAGCUGCGGUAAUAAGGAGGGAGCAAGCGUUAAUGGGAAUUAGUGGGCGUAAAGCGCACGCAGGCGGUCUGUCAAGUCGGAUGUGAAAUCCCCGGGCUCAACCUGGGAACUGCAUCCGAAACUGGCAGGCUAGAGUCUUGUAGAGGGGGGUAGAAUUCCAGGUGUAGCGGUGAAAUGCGUAGAGAUCUGGAGGAAUACCGGUGGCGAAGGCGGCCCCCUGGACAAAGACUGACGCUCAGGUGCGAAAGCGUGGGGAGCAAACA
This 427-nucleotide ribosomal RNA is filed under the name uncultured bacterium. Its description in RNAcentral is "partial 16S ribosomal RNA". It matches the Rfam family "Bacterial small subunit ribosomal RNA", at positions 355 to 774 of the family's 1533-position model. The record is from RNAcentral.